RNAcentral lists this ribosomal RNA (253 nucleotides) under uncultured bacterium. RNAcentral describes it as "partial 16S ribosomal RNA". It matches the Rfam family "Bacterial small subunit ribosomal RNA", at positions 524 to 776 of the family's 1533-position model. The record is from RNAcentral.
UACGUAGGUGGCAAGCGUUGUCCGGAUUUAUUGGGUUUAAAGGGUGCGUAGGCGGCCCUGUAAGUCGGUGCUGAAAUCCCCCGGCUUAACCGGGGGGGUGGCAUUGAUACUGCAGGGCUUGAGUACAGAUGAGGUAGGCGGAAUUGACGGUGUAGCGGUGAAAUGCUUAGAUAUCGUCAAGAACACCUAUAGCGAAGGCAGCUUACUAGGCUGUAACUGACGCUGAGGCACGAAAGUGUGGGGAUCAAACAGG